RNAcentral lists this transfer RNA (74 nucleotides) under Cotesia glomerata. RNAcentral's name for it is "tRNA-Lys". Lineage: Eukaryota; Metazoa; Arthropoda; Insecta; Hymenoptera; Braconidae. The record is from RNAcentral.
GUCUCAGAUAGCUCAACUGGAAAAGCCCUUGGUGCUUAACUAGAAUGAUCUGGGUUCGAUUCCCGGUUUGGGCU